This 948-nucleotide ribosomal RNA is filed under the name Triticum aestivum (bread wheat). Its description in RNAcentral is "partial small subunit ribosomal RNA". The record is from RNAcentral. Lineage: Eukaryota; Viridiplantae; Streptophyta; Magnoliopsida; Poales; Poaceae.
AUGGCGAGCCUCACCUUGCCGCCGGCGCCCCCGAACCCCCGCCAGGACGCCAUCGACCUCCACAAGGCCUUCAAAGGGUUUGGCUGUGAUAGUACAACAGUUUCAAAUAUACUUGCUCACCGUGACUCAAUGCAACGUGGAUACAUUCAACAGGAAUACAAAACUAUGUAUUCUGAGGAACUUUCACGUCGUAUAUCGUCUGAACUCAGUGGAAACCACAAGAAAGCAAUGUCGCUCUGGAUUCUUGAUCCUGCUGGACGUGAUGCGACUGUUCUGAAAGAAGCUCUAAGUGCUGAAAGUCUUGAUCUGAAAGCAGCUACUGAUAUAAUAUGUUCCAGGACACCAUCACAGCUGCAAAUAAUGAAACAGACAUAUUAUGCAAAGUUUGGUACUUAUCUUGAGCAUGACAUUAGUCAGCAAGCAUCCGGCGAUCAUCAGAAGAUCUUACUAGCCUAUGUUGGCAUUCCACGCUACGAAGGCCCGGAGGUUGAUCCCACUAUAGUGACACAUGAUGCGAAGGACCUCUACAAAGCUGGUGAGAAAAAGCUGGGCACAGAUGAGAAAACCUUCAUCCGCAUCUUCACUGAACGCAGCUGGGCACACAUGGCAGCUGUUGCUUCUGCUUACCAUCACAUGUAUGAUCGGUCGUUACAGAAGGUUGUGAAGAAUGAAACAUCUGGAAACUUUGAAGUUGCUCUGUUAACUAUCCUCAGAUGUGCUGAGAAUCCAGCGAAGUAUUUUGCUAAGGUGUUGAGGAAGUCCAUGAAAGGUCUAGGUACUGAUGACAAGACACUUGUAAGGGUUGUGGUAACAAGGACUGAGAUUGAUAUGCAGUAUAUCAAGGCAGAAUAUUACAAGAAAUACAAAAAGCCUUUAGCUGAUGCUAUCCAUUCCGAAACAUCAGGCGGUUAUCGGACAUUCCUGCUUUCUCUUGUUGGUAGCCAUUAG